GACGAACGCUGGCGGCGUGCUUAACACAUGCAAGUCGAACGGAAAGGCCCUGCUUGCAGGGUGCUCGAGUGGCGAACGGGUGAGUAACACGUGGGUGAUCUGCCCCUUACUUUGGGAUAAGCCUGGGAAACUGGGUCUAAUACUGCAUAGGACCAUGCUGUAGGCGGUGUGGUGGAAAGAUUAGUUUCGGUAAGGGAUGAGCUCGCGGCCUAUCAGCUUGUUGGUGGGGUAAUGGCCUACCAAGGCGUCGACGGGUAGCCGGCCUGAGAGGGUGGACGGCCACAUUGGGAGGGAGAUACGGCGCAGACUCCUACGGGGGGCAGCAGUGGGGAAUAUUGCACAAUGGGGGCAAGCCUGAUGCAGCGACGCCGCGUGGGGGAUGACGGCCUUCGGGUUGUAAACUCCUUUCAGCCAUGACGAAGCCCUUGUGGUGACGGUAGUGGUAGAAGAAGCACCGGCUAACUACGUG
RNAcentral lists this ribosomal RNA (469 nucleotides) under uncultured bacterium. RNAcentral describes it as "partial 16S ribosomal RNA". It matches the Rfam family "Bacterial small subunit ribosomal RNA", at positions 28 to 507 of the family's 1533-position model. The record is from RNAcentral.